GGCGGCAGCCAUAUUGAUGUUCGUCCCCGAACCAGCUAUAAACCCUAAACUCCACACAAAUUAGGGUUUUCGAGAUCAAAUCUGUCCGUCAAAUAGGAGAUUCAAAAGAAUCGAAACCCUUGUUUUUUAGCACGCCUUCCCUCUUCGAUCCUAUAAAUUGUUAACUCGUCCCUCUUCCAUCGCCAGGGCGUCGAUUUGGUCGCAGCCGUCGUAUCUGUGAAGUCGUUCAUCGCCGACAGGUGAUUUCGUCGUCGAUCGUUUUGAUUUCUUCCCCUUCUGCUGUGAUUUUCCUACUCUGGUGUUCUAUGCAAUUUGCUUCACUAUCUGGUGAUUGAGGAUCAUUUCCAUUCCCAAUGCACUCGUUCCCUUGAAGCAAGAUUGUGUGUUGUACUGAUCAUGAUUUCACUUCCAACCAAAUAAGAUGGUUGGCACGACAAUGAUCGUUUACAUAAAUUUUCUUCUGUUUAUUCAAUAGUUUUCUUUGACUUUUUAGAUUGGCAAAUGAGGAUUUAUUGUUUGCAAUGGGUAAUUUGCGUCUGAGCAUGUAUUUGUGAUGUUACAUACAUAUCACCUUGGAGAUCUGAUGCCGAAAUUCAUUUUUUUUCCUCUUGUUUCUACGCUUUUUUAUAUUUAAAAUUUUUAACAUAUGAUUUAAAAUUUGGGGUUUCCCUAUUGGUUUGAUGGCUGAUAUGAUGGCUACAAAUGUAUUAGCUCUAUCUGAACUCUUAUCUUCCUUUUGCUAUUUUAUUCAGCUUUUGUAUACCUUCUUUGCAUUUUACUGAUGCAUCAAAAUUUGUUAUUGUAUUUUUGUUUAUCUGACUCAAACAUGCAUUUUCCUAUCAUUUUUUUUUCAAAUCGGAAGAUUAUUUAUCUUCUACGAUACUCACAAGGUAUAUGCCAACAAUAAUCUCCAGCAAAAGAUUGCUUUGGAUAAAACAAAGGCUGCUCCUAUAAUUUCAAUUUAAAGAAAGAUAUUAGGAACUGGCUUUGUUCUUGAACAUGUCACGUAAUUUCUCUGUUACAACCUAUUUGUUGACGCUGCUGCCUGCUACAGACUAAUCUAUGUGGACGGCUUUGCAGCGGUGGAUAGCCAUGACGUUCUCGAACAAGACCAAGAAAAUUAUCAUUUUUUUUACCAAUAACGUGCUGAAUCUCUGACAAUUGCCUAUCGAGCUUGGACUACUCCAAAUGCUCGUUCAAUAUUUUUUUUUACAAUCUCUUGUCUUUUCUUAAACAACCUCUUCUUGGGAUCUUCUGGAUAAGGAAAAGUUUUUAUGAAAUUAGCUCAUUUUGUAUAUAUUCCAUUUGUUAGAUAAUACUCCUUGUAUAUUGAGUCUUGUUGAUCGUGAAAUUAAUUUCUGGGGCAUUUCUUUGCAAAAUGCCAUUGAAUA
Zingiber officinale is the source of this 1391-nucleotide long non-coding RNA. RefSeq lists it as uncharacterized. The record is from RefSeq and is a predicted model, not a curated record. Lineage: Eukaryota; Viridiplantae; Streptophyta; Magnoliopsida; Zingiberales; Zingiberaceae. The transcript is spliced from 2 exons.